RNAcentral lists this ribosomal RNA (253 nucleotides) under uncultured bacterium. RNAcentral describes it as "partial 16S ribosomal RNA". It matches the Rfam family "Bacterial small subunit ribosomal RNA", at positions 524 to 776 of the family's 1533-position model. The record is from RNAcentral.
UACGGAGGGUGCAAGCGUUAUCCGGAUUCACUGGGUUUAAAGGGUGCGUAGGAGGGCAGGUAAGUCAGUGGUGAAAUCUCCGAGCUUAACUUGGAAACUGCCGUUGAUACUAUCUGUCUUGAAUAUUGUGGAGGUGAGCGGAAUAUGUCAUGUAGCGGUGAAAUGCUUAGAUAUGACAUAGAACACCAACUGCGAAGGCAGCUCGCUACACAAAUAUUGACUCUGAGGCACGAAAGCGUGGGGAUCAAACAGG